Molecule: unclassified non-coding RNA, 329 nt
Filed under: soil metagenome
Description: partial contains 5.8S ribosomal RNA, internal transcribed spacer 2, and large subunit ribosomal RNA
Rfam family: 5.8S ribosomal RNA (bases 1-120)
Source: RNAcentral
GAUGAAGAACGUAGCGAAAUGCGAUAAGUAGUGUGAAUUGCAGAAUUCAGUGAAUCAUCGAAUCUUUGAACGCACAUUGCGCCCCUUGGUAUCCCGAGGGGCAUGCCUGUUCGAGCGUCAUUUCACCACUCAAGCCUGGCUUGGUGUUGGGCGACGUCCUCUUUGGGGACGCGCCUCGAAACGCUCGGCGGCGUGGCACCGGCUUUAAGCGUAGCAGAAUCUUUCGCUUUGGAAGUCGGGGCCCCGUCUGCCGGAAGACCUGCUCGCAAGGUUGACCUCGGAUCAGGCAGGGAAACCCGCUGAACUUAAGCAUAUCAAUAAGCGGAGGA